GUCUUUUAGAUAAUAAUUUAAAGUCUAACCUGCCCACUGAAAUUAUUUGAAGGGCCGCGGUAUUUUGACUGUGCAAAGGUAGCAUAAUCAUUAGUCUUUUAAUUGGAGGCUUGUAUGAAUGGUUGGAUGAAACAUUAACUGUCUCAAUUUAAGAAAAGUAGAAUUUAAUUUUUAAGUUAAAAAGCUUAAAUAAAAUUAGAGGACGAGAAGACCCUAUAGAUCUUUAUAAUUAAUAUUUUAUUAUUAAUAUAGUAAUUUAAUUUAUAUUAAUUUAUUAAUUAUUUUAUUGGGGUGAUAGAUAAAUUUAGUAAACUUUAUUUAAUAUAAACAUUAAUUUAUGAAUAUUUGAUCCAUUAAUAGUGAUUAUAAGAUUAAGUUACCUUAGGGAUAACAGCGUAAUUUUUUUAGAGAGUUCAUAUCGAUAAAAAAGUUUGCGACCUCGAUGUUGAAUUAAAGGUUAAUUUUAGGUGUAGAAGUUUAAAAUUUUGGUCUGUUCGACCAUUAAAUC
RNAcentral lists this ribosomal RNA (508 nucleotides) under Protohermes axillatus. RNAcentral's name for it is "partial 16S ribosomal RNA". It matches the Rfam family "Bacterial large subunit ribosomal RNA", at positions 1829 to 2594 of the family's 2925-position model. The record is from RNAcentral. Lineage: Eukaryota; Metazoa; Arthropoda; Insecta; Megaloptera; Corydalidae.